CUGAUUGAUGAAAUAUCGGCCAUUGGUGAUGGAUCCAACCUGCAGCCCCUCCUCCCGAGGCCAGGGGGUAGGGCCGACAGCUCCCCAAGUAACCACGUGGGCGGUCCCGCUGUAGCCCCUCCUCCCGAGGUCAGAGGGUGGGGCCAAUAGCCACGCUCCUGUGAACACGUGGGCGGUCUCCCUGCAGCCCCUCCUCCCGAGGUCAGGGGGUGGGGCUGACAGCCCCGCCCCUGUGACCACGUGGGCGGUCUCCGUGGCAACCAGCCCCCACCCCCAGGUGCUUUUCCAAACUCCUGUUAGCACUAGAGACACCUUUCUGCUCCUCCACUUAGGAAACCCCGAGGGUUUGGGAGCUGUGCCGGGAGCGCGCCUGGAGACCAGAUCUGUCUUACUAGAAACCAGAGUCCCAGGGUCCAUUAUGGAAUCGCUGAGAAGUCUAAGGAUGGCGUCCCCGCGUGCACGUGUUUCCCGGGCGUAACCAGGCAGGUCUGUAGUGAUCCCGAGGUCUACACUAGCAUCUCGCUGGUGGCUCAUGGCGCUGGACGUCCUUCACAUGCUUAUCUGCUGUCUGUCCAUCCUCCUCAGUGAGGGGUCUCUGGGCUUAUACCCGCGUUCUGAUCACGUUGUUUCUCGGUCAAGAUGUUUUCGGAUUUCCCUUGAGAGUUCCUCUUGGACCCACGAAUUACGGGCUGCUUCAUUUCCAGGCGUUUGGGAAUUCUCCCGUUACCGGGAGGAAGCAUGGCACGCUUUCUUCUGGCUCUGUGAUUUCACAUCCCAGGAUGCGGUCUCCUCGGGUUCCGUGGUCCCAGUACCUAUGGUCAGUCUGCUUUUUCCCCCCACCAUUCAGCCUCUGGCACCUGUUCCACACAGACCGCCAGGUGUGCAGUCUCACCUUGUGGGAGGAACGGGGAAAACAACAUCUAGUCCAUGCAAGGAUGACAGCGCCACCCUCUAGAUGCGGAUCUAAAGCAAAUCCUCUCGUGUGUCCACACAGUGGCAUUUGGCUCUAAGUGACACAGAAGCAGGCAUUAAGUUGCCUGGCAGAUCCCACCCCGACAUGGCACACUGGUCCCAAACGGGGCACUGUUGUACCUGCAGAUGAGGAAACAGGCUCAGAGGGGCGCUGAGUCAGAGGCAUGGUUCUUCCAUGAAAGGACUCAAAUCCAAGCCCCCUGAGACCAUCCCUGUGCUUUCCCAGCACUGACACGAAGUCACUCCUGGUCUAGCUGAGGAAAGUGAAAACCGAAUCCUGUCUACUCUAACACCCUGGAUCAAAAGCCCCUGGCUGGGGAGUGAGGCGGACCUGGACCUGCUGUGUGGCUCAGGGGGAUGCGCUUCACCUCUCUGUGUAGGUUCCUCACCUGUGAGUAGGACGGCCCCGUCACGUGACCACAACGUGAGAGAAAUCACACUGGGAAGAACACAGAGCCAACGUGGACUACGCAUGAGCUAGUACAGUCACCACGGAGCCACCCGCGGUCCAGGGAAGCCACCCACCACCCAGGGGAGUCACCCGCCGCCCAGAAUGAGGGACCAACUGCGUCAGGACAGCCGGACGAAAACUCCAGAAGACUCACAGGUGUUCUUAGGAUGAAAUACACUCCCUGUAACGCGUUCGCUUCUUGUAUCUGAAAUCAAAGCCCUACGUCUCCCACGGGGACAUUUACACAGGGAAGGCACUAGGACGACACGCUGGCUACGCUGAUGCUGAAUGUGCGCUGGCUGCGUGGGGCCGUGGGCCACACUGGCCCCACCCACACCGUUCCCCUCUCCGGGCCUUUCUCAAGUUCCGGAAGGGUUGAUACUCCACACAGGGACCCCAGAGGCCAAGUCAGGGGCUGCUGCUCAACCUGAAGGUUCUUUCCGGCAUUUUCUGUCCUCGGGCUGAUCAUCCGCAGCCCCCGGCCGCCACCAGCACGUCUCCAACAAAGCUGGUCCCGAUACACCGACAUCAGCCCUCGGUCGUGGUGGGCUGGUGGGGGAGGAGGUGGGAACGAAGUCCCUGUGUUUGCCACCAUCUACAUCGUCCCAGUACAGAACAGACUUCUCCGCAUGACGCUUACAGAACACACACGUGCACCAGCACCGCGCACCCUCUCCCUACUCCGCGCUUUACUCCCACCUGCUAGGAAAGGGGGCAGUGUGACCGCGGGGCUCUGCGCGGACAGAGACACAGUAUGGUCCUGGAGCCACAGGGGACUUGGGGAGAAGGACAGCCCUUCCUCUAAAGGACGCACAGAUCUGGUUUUCUCUAGGAAAGGAAGGACGGGGCACCGGCUGUCGUCACGACAACCACUGCUGGGGAAGGAGGCGGGAAUUACAUGCUCUCCCAAAAACUGUGCGAGACGACCAUUCAGGGAGCCUUCUUCCACAGGAGAAAACCAGCAAAAGGAAUCCACACUCACAGAGAAGAAAGAUUUUCAAAUGCGCCUGGGGGGCUCAAUCCAUUGAGCGUCUCGUUUCAGCUCAGGUCAUGAUCUCAUUGUUUGUGGGUUCGAGCCCCGCAUCGGGCUCUGUACUGGCAGCCU
This is a long non-coding RNA of Prionailurus viverrinus (fishing cat), 2528 nucleotides long. RefSeq lists it as uncharacterized. Lineage: Eukaryota; Metazoa; Chordata; Mammalia; Carnivora; Felidae. The record is from RefSeq and is a predicted model, not a curated record. The transcript has 3 exons.